RNAcentral lists this ribosomal RNA (255 nucleotides) under uncultured bacterium. Its description in RNAcentral is "partial 16S ribosomal RNA". It matches the Rfam family "Bacterial small subunit ribosomal RNA", at positions 15 to 263 of the family's 1533-position model. The record is from RNAcentral.
GAUCAUGGCUCAGGAUGAACGCUAGCUACAGGCUUAACACAUGCAAGUCGAGGGGCAUCAGGAAGAAAGCUUGCUUUCUUUGCUGGCGACCGGCGCACGGGUGAGUAACACGUAUCCAACCUACCCUUUACUCGGGGAUAGCCUUUCGAAAGAAGAUUAAUACCCGAUGGCAUAAUGAUUCCGCAUGGUUUCAUUAUUAAAGGUAUUCCGGUAAAGGAUGGGAUGCGUUCCAUUAGGUUGUUGGUGAGGUAACGG